CCAUGCCGUAAACGAUGAUUACUAGGUGUGGGGGGAUUGACCCCCUCCGUGCCGCAGUUAACACAAUAAGUAAUCCACCUGGGGAGUACGACCGCAAGGUUGAAACUCAAAGGAAUUGACGGGGGCCCGCACAAGCAGUGGAGUAUGUGGUUUAAUUCGAAGCAACGCGAAGAACCUUACCAGGUCUUGACAUCGGAUGCAUAGUGCAGAGAUGCAUGAAGUCUUUCGGGACAUCCAGACAGGUGGUGCAUGGUUGU
This 257-nucleotide ribosomal RNA is filed under the name uncultured bacterium. RNAcentral describes it as "partial 16S ribosomal RNA". It matches the Rfam family "Bacterial small subunit ribosomal RNA", at positions 795 to 1052 of the family's 1533-position model. The record is from RNAcentral.